GGACGACGCUGGCGGCGUGCCUAACACAUGCAAGUCGAGCGAGGAGAUUCCUUCGGGAUGAUCCUAGCGGCGGACGGGUGAGUAACACGUGGGCAACCUGCCUCAUAGAGAGGAAUAGCCUUCCGAAAGGGAGAUUAAUACCUCAUAACAUUGCAGUUUCGCAUGGAACAGCAAUUAAAGGAGUAAUCCGCUAUGAGAUGGGCCCGCGGCGCAUUAGCUAGUUGGUGAGGUAACGGCUCACCAAGGCGACGAUGCGUAGCCGACCUGAGAGGGUGAUCGGCCACAUUGGGACUGAGACACGGCCCAGACUCCUACGGGAGGCAGCAGUGGGGAAUAUUGCACAAUGGGGGAAACCCUGAUGCAAGCAACGCCGCGUGAGUGAUGACGGCCUUCGGGUUGUAAAGCUCUGUCUUCAGGGACGAUAAUGACGGUACCUGAGGAGGAAGCCACGGCUAACUACGUGCCAGCAGCCGC
Molecule: ribosomal RNA, 474 nt
Filed under: uncultured bacterium
Lineage: Bacteria
Description: bacterial SSU rRNA
Rfam family: Bacterial small subunit ribosomal RNA
Source: RNAcentral